This 229-nucleotide long non-coding RNA is filed under the name Ananas comosus (pineapple). RNAcentral's name for it is "long non-coding RNA (ACOM_LNC037473)". Lineage: Eukaryota; Viridiplantae; Streptophyta; Magnoliopsida; Poales; Bromeliaceae. The record is from RNAcentral.
AUUUAAGCUAAUUUAUUAGGUUAAUGAAUUUAUAGUUACGAGAAUUGUAUAAAAUAUACUAACUAAUUCUGUAAGAAUAAACAAGGCAUUUAAAUUUUGAAAUGAAAGUGUAGUGACUGACUCAAAUCAAAUAAAUUGAAAAGUUAUAAAAUUAAAUAGUCAAUUUAAAAUAAUUCAUAGUUCAAGUAAGUUACGUAAGUUUAGGUUGGUUUGAACCUAUAAAUAAUCU